RNAcentral lists this ribosomal RNA (119 nucleotides) under Pteropus alecto (black flying fox). The record is from RNAcentral. Lineage: Eukaryota; Metazoa; Chordata; Mammalia; Chiroptera; Pteropodidae.
GUCUACGGCCAUGCCACCCUGAACAAGCCCGAUCCCGUCUGAUCUCGGAAGCUAAGCAGGGUCAGGCCUGGUUAGUACUUGGAUGGGAGACCACCUAGGAAGACCAGGUGCUGUAGGCG